CCCGCUGAAUUUAAGCAUAUAACUAGGCCGAGGAAAAGAAACUAACCAGGAUUCCCCCAGUAACGGCGAGUGAAGCGGGAGAAGCCCAUGCUGCCAACCGCUCCGGCGGGUUGUGCCAGGCGUGCCUGGUGAGGUCCCGGGGAGAAAUUCUUUGGAACAAGGUAUCAGAGAGGGUGACAAUCCCGUCUGUGCCUCGGGGUCCUCGCGUGAAGGCCGUCCUAGUGGAGUCGAGUUGCUUGGGAUUGCAGCUCAAAGUCGGUGGUAAAUUCCAUCGAAGGCUAAAUACGGGUGGGAGACCGAUAGCGAACAAGUACUGUGAAGGAAAGAUGAAAAGAACUUUGAAAAGAGAGUUAAAGAGUGCCUGAAAUUGCUGAGAGGGAACCGAAGGUGAUCAGUGGGGGCCGCUGCCAUUUUUCGUGUUCCGACCUCGGAGCACGCCCUGUGGCAGGGGCCCGCUCCGCGCCGUCGCGUCCGGCCGUAAGCUUGGGGCCGGGGGCGCCGGGGCGGAGGAAAUGGUCCUCUUUACCCCGUCUUGAAACACGGACC
Molecule: ribosomal RNA, 546 nt
Filed under: Pseudochattonella farcimen
Lineage: Eukaryota; Dictyochophyceae; Florenciellales
Description: eukaryotic LSU rRNA
Rfam family: Eukaryotic large subunit ribosomal RNA
Source: RNAcentral